GAUGAAGCUGGCGGCGUGCCUAACACAUGCAAGUCGAACGGAGUGGCGGACGGGUGAGUAACACGUGGGUAACCUGCCUCAUAGAGGGGGAUAACAGAGAGAAAUCACUGCUAAUACCGCAUACUAUGAGAUGGACCCGCGACUGAUUAGCCGGUUGGUAAGGUAAGGGCUUACCAAAGCAACGAUCAGUAGCCGAUCUGAGAGGGUGACCGGCCACAUUGGGACUGAGAUACGGCCCAGACUCCUACGGGAGGCAGCAGUGGGGGAUAUUGCACAAUGGGCGAAAGCCUGAUGCAGCGACGCCGCGUGGGGAUGAAGGCUUUCGGGUUGUAAACUCUUUCGCUAUCGAACGGGUAGGUGGAGAAGAAGCGCCGGCUAACUACGUGCCAGCAGCCGCGGUAAUAC
RNAcentral lists this ribosomal RNA (405 nucleotides) under uncultured bacterium. Its description in RNAcentral is "partial 16S ribosomal RNA". It matches the Rfam family "Bacterial small subunit ribosomal RNA", at positions 35 to 526 of the family's 1533-position model. The record is from RNAcentral.